Molecule: non-coding RNA, 82 nt
Organism: Suillus americanus
Lineage: Eukaryota; Fungi; Basidiomycota; Agaricomycetes; Boletales; Suillaceae
Source: the annotation of a GenBank genome assembly
GUGGUCCCAGCUAAGUGGUCAUUGCAACAGAAUCACAAUCUGUUUCUCUUCGUCGUGCAGGUUCGAAACCUGCCGGAUGACA